Molecule: long non-coding RNA, 530 nt
Filed under: Mytilus galloprovincialis (Mediterranean mussel)
Lineage: Eukaryota; Metazoa; Mollusca; Bivalvia; Mytilida; Mytilidae
Source: RNAcentral
CUGAUGAAAGUAUUAAACUAUGAACACAUUUAGUAUUUUUAGAUGUCUGCUUCUAGUUCUAAAUAUAAAAAAAGAAAAUGUGGUAUGAUUUCCAAUGAGAAAACUCUCCACAAGAGACCAAAAUGACAUAGAAAUUAACAACUAUAGGUUACAGUACAGCCUUCAACAAUGAGCAAAGCCCAUACCGCAUAGUCAGCUAUAAAGGCCCCUAAAUGACAAUGUAAAACAAUUCAAACGUGAAAACUAACGGCCUUAUUUAUGUACAAAAAAGAAGGUUUCAUUCACUGAAAUGUGGUUUUAGUUUCAGCCAAUUUAAAUCUAAAGUAUGCAUCAGAUAUAAAAAAAAAAGAACAUGUGGUAUGAUUGUCAAUGAGACAACUCACCACAAGAGACCAAAAUGACACAGAAAUUAACAACUAUAGGUCUCUGUACGGCCUUCAACAAUGAGCAAAGCCCAUAAGGCAUAACGCAUAGUCAGCUUUAAAAGGCCCUGAAAUGACAGUAAAGCAAUUCAAAAGAGAAAACUAACG